CAACUCAUACAAAGAAACAUAAAAAUUACUAAGUUUGGAGGAAGAAAGAUGAAACCCGAUGAAUUCCGGCCUCCACGGUGGCUCUAUACUCGUGUUUUCCUCUCAAAAACGUCCUCCUUGCCUCUUGCCUAUCUAUUUCUUGCCCUAAACUAUGAAAACCCUUCAUUAUUUAACCUUGGGCGAGCUUGACUUUAUAUAGGUUAAGUGGGUUUCUCUCCAGAUUUCCGAUUUUACCCCUAAAUAACGUUUUUCCGGAUCGAACACGCGCGAGCUCGUGCAUAACUUCGCGUGUUUCUUCGUGCAUGAUUCUGCCUCGGCCUUUCUUACACGCAAACUCCUGCGCGCCUUUGCGCGUUUCUUCGCGCACCUGGAGCUUGAUUUCGUCCAUUUUUUCAUCUCGUCCUUGCGCGCACUCAACUCCGAAGGGUUGUUCUUGCUCAUAAAUCAUUCCAAUAUCCUCUUGAAAGCAUCAUAUAGGCUCCUCAUCCUGCAAUGUAUACAUAUCACAAUUAAAGCCUAUUUUUCAUCAAUUAACCACAAUAUGUCAUUGGAAUAUAAUUAAGCAGAAGCAUAAACAAUAGCUAAAUCACCUAGAUUUCGCCUAUUAUCAACCAUUAUCUUCACCGGGCUUUCAUGGUAGUCAACAUGGUGGCUUACUAGUUGUUGCACCCUCGGUCUUUUAUGGUAGUCAACAUACUGACUCACCAGCUGCUGCACCCCCGGGCUUUCAUGGUAGUCAGCAUACUGGCUCACCAGCUGCUGCACCCCCGAGCUUUCAUGGUAGUCAGCAUACUGGCUCACCAGCUGCUACACCUCCGAGCUUUCAUGGUAGUCAGCAUACUGGCUCACCAGCUGCUACACCUCCGAGCUUUCAUGGUAGUCAACAUGAUGGUGCAUCUUUUGUUGCUCCAUCAUCUUCCAGUCCAUCAUCAUCAUCCAUUCCCAGCAUAUCUAGGUUUGAUAUUGGAGGCUCGCGCCCAACUACAUCUAGUGUUGCUUCUGCACCAUCUCGUAGACGCAGGCAGAAUCUUGGAGGGGAUGUACAAUUUGAUAGUUAUAAUCGAUUGAUAAUCGUCCCCCACAAGGCUGGGUUUUUGCCAUCCUUUCAAGCUACACAUUUGGUUACAGAUUCUAUGAAGCCAUUUUAUCAUGACCCGUGGACUUCUUGGAGAAAGAUAUCGUAAAACAUCAGAGAGCAAAUGUGGAAUCAAUUUAGGACAAGGUGUACAUGGCAUCCUCAGCAUCAAAAUGUAAUAAAUGGUAUUUUCGAGAAGAAAGCUGCUAUACGGAUUAAAGAUACUAUGUGCGCUGCUCGGAAUUCCGGUAAUAUGCCGGAAUGGUUAAGAGAAGAUGUUUGGGAUAAACUUCUUGAGAAAUAGAAUACCCCAGAAUGAAAGGCAAAGAGUGAACAAGCAAAGGCAAACCAUGCCUCUAAAAAAGGUGGCUCGUUGCACACAGGAGGAAAAGGAAAGAGGGCAAGAUAUGAGUUACGCUGAGGUCUUUGAGGAGUUGCAUAAGAAAAAGAAAAAGGAUGGUACAAUAGAAUACUGGUGGAAACGCGUGCGUCAGACACAUAUGAAGAUUAUCAUAAAAGGUUGGAAGAAUGACAACAAACUCAGCCUCCUUCAACUCAACCAACACCUGAUGAUAUGGCUUCAUUGUGGACAGAGGCAGCGAGUGGAGCAAACAAAGGCAGAGUCUACGAACUAGGAGUACAUCGACCUACAGGUCAUCCAAAUCCACUCUUAGCCACUUCUUCUUCUCCUCAAAAUCAAGAACAGAUGGAAGAUAUGAGAAACGAAAUUCGUGAAUUGAAGCAACAAUUGGACUCCCAAUACGGAACAUUUGUUAAGAUGCAGAAAUUCAUGCGUAAACAUGGGCAUAAUUUAUCUGAUGAUGAGGAUGAACAAGCUGAAUCUGAUGUGUAGUAGUUUAGUUGUGAUGUUUUGGUUGAUUGGUGAACUUGAUUGUGAGAGACAACUUAAUGUACUGCUUUUAAACUUGAAUAUGGGCUGCUAUUUGGAUGUUU
Molecule: long non-coding RNA, 2029 nt
Organism: Nicotiana tabacum (common tobacco)
Lineage: Eukaryota; Viridiplantae; Streptophyta; Magnoliopsida; Solanales; Solanaceae
Source: RefSeq, a predicted model, not a curated record